This 354-nucleotide unclassified non-coding RNA is filed under the name soil metagenome. RNAcentral's name for it is "partial contains 5.8S ribosomal RNA, internal transcribed spacer 2, and large subunit ribosomal RNA". The stretch from base 1 to 120 matches the Rfam family "5.8S ribosomal RNA", at positions 35 to 154 of the family's 154-position model. The record is from RNAcentral.
GAUGAAGAACGCAGCGAAAUGCGAUAAGUAAUGUGAAUUGCAGAAUUCAGUGAAUCAUCGAAUCUUUGAACGCACAUUGCGCCCGCCAGUAUUCUGGCGGGCAUGCCUGUUUGAGCGUCAUUUCAACCCUCAGGCCCCCAGUGCCUGGCGUUGGGGAUCGGCGCGGCGCCCUCCGGGGCGCUGCCGGCCCCGAAAUUCAGUGGCGGUCUCGCUGUAGCCCUCCUCCGCGUAGUAGCACAACCUCGCGGCCUGGAGCUCGGCGGUGGCCAUGCCGUAAAACACCCCACUUCUGAAAGUUGACCUCGGAUCAGGUAGGAAUACCCGCUGAACUUAAGCAUAUCAAUAAGCGGAGGA